Pistacia vera is the source of this 964-nucleotide long non-coding RNA. RefSeq lists it as uncharacterized. The record is from RefSeq and is a predicted model, not a curated record. The transcript has 5 exons. NCBI's taxonomy places the organism in Eukaryota, Viridiplantae, Streptophyta, Magnoliopsida, Sapindales, Anacardiaceae.
UUUAACUCUCCCUAAUCACCGUUGCUCGCGACCUACACUUUCUACCGCAAGACAGCUGCUGUUUUGGCGCCCUCUCAUCUGCUUUUCGUCGGGUUUUGGUGUUUAAUCAGUGGGGUUUGUUGUUUUUGAAGUGUUGUUUGUGAUUGUAUCCUUGUUGUGUUUGGUCGAAUGUAACCACCCCCCCAACAACACUCUAACCUUGCUGCUCCAUCGUCACCCACCACCUGUUCGACCAUUUGCCACAACAAGCCUACCCAACCCAGUGCCAUCCUUUACUGUUGCGUGCGCAGCCUGCAUUAAGAUGGGAGGAGGAGUGGCAAUUGGUUGUGUCGUUGGUGGUGGUGAUGGUGCUGAAGGAGGAGGUGAUGGGGUAUGAAGUUUGGUGAUUUCUGACAGUUUGGGUGAGAAAUCCGGUAGGGAUCCACGGAAAACGAGCAGCGCUGGUGCCGACAAUGGUGGAGGGCGUGGGAGGAUAACAAACCAGCAUCUGGUGCUAACAAAGCCACAAGUGGUGGAUUGACAAUCUGUCUCAGUGCUUGUGAAGAUAAUGAGCAAGCUUUUGAUACCUUUGCUUUCGCCGAAAAGACAAUGAAUGGUGCCUUGACCUAUCUUUUCGUGGAGGCUGAAAAAUUGCUUAUGGAGCAUCUCUAAUGGCCGGUUAUCGUAGAUUCUGUUCGCAGUUGGAUCUCAAGAUUUAAAAGAGGACCUUACUGGAUUAGUCUCAUGCCCAACCCCAUUUGUCAAGAUUCAAGCUGAAAACUCGGAAGGGGCUGUGGAGAAAAGAACCAAUCGAAAGUGUAAUCAGUGGAAGAAAACCAACAAAUUACUUGUAAGUUGGCUUCUUAGCUCAAUCUUUGAAUCUAUGUUCAAUGUAGUCUCAAAGUGUCAAUUUUCUGUUGAUAUGUGGAUUACCUUAGAAAAUGAUUUUCUUACCGAGUCAAGAACCAAAACCCUGCAUAUUAAG